UGUCCAGCAAGACAGAAGUGCGCGACGGAAACUAAAAUUUAUAUCUAGUGGAUGAAGAAAAAUCGUAACCGCGUAAAUUGUACAAAUAUCUCAGUAUCAGUCGUUAGUGAUAGGUUAAAAAGUUAUAGUAUGUAAAAUUGAGAAUUAGUAUGAGAAGUAAACGUGAAAAGUGUGCAAAUGUGCUUAUAUCUAAUAGUACGGUUAGUUGAAAAUUUAUUCUAAUAUGAUCUAGGGUCUUAAAACAAAUUAUAUUCAGAUUCAACUGUACUGAGAAAACACGGUGAAAGGAGUGAUUUUAAUUAUUCGACAUUAGUUGGUUGAAAAAAAGAAUAAUGACGUCACCGGUGCUAAUGCUCGUGCAGGUUCGCUUGUCUGCGGACCUUUUUUCUUUACGAUCGGAACAAGUUCCGAUCUUUCUUCACAGUUUAUAUAACGGGUUACGGCGUGGAGUGAAGUUACCAAAGAAACGCCAGCGAUCGACCGCCAUAACAACCAACUAAGCGUCCAUCGUCGAUUAACGCCAUUUUGGAGCGCGGCUAGUACCGACCGUAGUUUGGCGCCAUUGUGUUAGCAGCACGAGGUCGCCUAGAGAAAACACACAUCGCAAGCCAGAAUUGAUGGUGAUGGGUACAGGGAGUAUCGAAGAGACCACGUUGAACGAAAUUCCAACGGCCCAACUCAACAUACGGUUCUGUGGAAACGAAGGUAGCCGAUUCCUGAAAGUUCGGCUAACAGGCCAACAAGCGACAGGGACAACCACAGACAAGCGGAUGUACCAGGUAUCGGGUGACGUCAGUAGUAAGUAAGAAAAGAUCUUGUGAAUUUAGUUAGUAAGUCAAAAGUUAGACUAGGGCAUUUAGAGGAGGAUGAAAUUAAAGCAGGUGAUUAUUGAACAA
This is a long non-coding RNA of Malaya genurostris, 896 nucleotides long. RefSeq lists it as uncharacterized. The transcript is spliced from 2 exons. The record is from RefSeq and is a predicted model, not a curated record. Lineage: Eukaryota; Metazoa; Arthropoda; Insecta; Diptera; Culicidae.